UACGUAGGGUGCAAGCGUUAAUCGGAAUUACUGGGCGUAAAGCGUGCGCAGGCGGUUUUGUAAGUCUGUCGUGAAAGCCCCGGGCUCAACCUGGGAAUUGCGAUGGAGACUGCAAGGCUUGAAUCUGGCAGAGGGGGGUAGAAUUCCACGUGUAGCAGUGAAAUGCGUAGAUAUGAUGGAGGAAUACCGAUGGCGAAGGCAGCCCCCCUGGGAUAACACUGACGCUCAUGGCACGAAAGCGUGGGGAGCAAACAGG
RNAcentral lists this ribosomal RNA (256 nucleotides) under uncultured bacterium. RNAcentral's name for it is "partial 16S ribosomal RNA". It matches the Rfam family "Bacterial small subunit ribosomal RNA", at positions 524 to 776 of the family's 1533-position model. The record is from RNAcentral.